GGCCGGUUAGCUCAGUGAUUUGAGCGCGGUGCUGACUACAAUGACAACACCGAGGUCGCGGGUUUGAUUCCCGCUCGGUCC
This 81-nucleotide transfer RNA is filed under the name Apaloderma vittatum (bar-tailed trogon). It matches the Rfam family "tRNA". From Rfam's summary of the family: Transfer RNA (tRNA) molecules are approximately 80 nucleotides in length. Their secondary structure includes four short double-helical elements and three loops (D, anti-codon, and T loops). Lineage: Eukaryota; Metazoa; Chordata; Aves; Trogoniformes; Trogonidae. The record is from Rfam by way of RNAcentral.